UACGUAGGGGGCAAGCGUUGUCCGGAAUCAUUGGGCGUAAAGCGCGCGUAGGCGGCCCGAUAAGUCUGCUGUGAAAGUCCAGGGCUCAACCCUGGAAUGCCGGUGGAUACUGUCGGGCUAGAGUUCGGAAGAGGCAAGUGGAAUUCCUGGUGUAGCGGUGGAAUGCGCAGAUAUCAGGAGGAACACCGGUGGCGAAGGCGGCCCUCUGGACGGAUACUGACGCUGAGGCGCGAAAGCGUGGGGAUCAAACAGG
Molecule: ribosomal RNA, 253 nt
Filed under: uncultured bacterium
Lineage: Bacteria
Description: partial 16S ribosomal RNA
Rfam family: Bacterial small subunit ribosomal RNA
Source: RNAcentral